CGAGAUAUCUGGUUGAUCCUGCCUGAACUGAUGUGUUCAUUUCAAAGAUUAAGCCAUGCAUGUAUAAGUUUAAUCGUUUUAACGAGAAACCGCGAACGGCUCAUUACAAUGGCCAUGAUUUACUUGAUCUUGAUUAUCUAAAUGGAUAACUGUGGAAAAGCUAGAGCUAAUACAUGCACCAAAGCUUUGUCCUAUCGGAAAAGCGCAUUUAUUAGAACAAAACCACGCGGCUUCGGCUGCUUCUUGUUGACUCAGAAUAACUAAGCUGACCGCAUGGCCUUGUGCUGGCGGCGUGUCUUUCAAGCGUCCACUUUAUCAACUUGACGGGAGCAUAAUCGACUCCCGUGGUGGUGACGGAUAACGGAGGAUCAGGGUUCGACUCCGGAGAAGGGGCCUGAGAAAUGGCCACUACGUCUAAGGAUGGCAGCAGGCGCGCAAAUUACCCACUCUCGGCUCGAGGAGGUAGUGACGAGAAAUAACGAGAUCGUUCUCUUUGAGGCCGGUCAUCGGAAUGGGUACAAUUUAAACCCUUUAACGAGUAUCAAGCAGAGGGCAAGUCUGGUGCCAGCAGCCGCGGUAAUUCCAGCUCUGCUAAUACAUAGAAUUAUUGCUGCGGUUAAAAAGCUCGUAGUUGGAUUCGUAUCGGUACCCUGGAACCCUCCGGGUGUUUCUGGGUGUUAUCGAUUUUUCGUAAUGUUCGGUUUAGAGUCCUUAACAGGAUUCUUAACAGGCAUUGCAAGUUUACUUUGAACAAAUCAGAGUGCUUCAAACAGGCGUUUUCGCUUGAAUGAUCGUGCAUGGAAUAAUAGAAAACGAUUUCGGUUCAGUUUUAUUGGUUUUACGGACUGAGAUAAUGGUUAACAGAGACAAACGGGGGCAUUUGUAUGGCCCCGUGAGAGGUGAAAUUCUUGGACCGUGGCCAGACAAACUACAGCGAAAGCAUUUGCCAAGAAUGUCUUCAUUAAUCAAGAACGAAAGUCAGAGGUUCGAAGGCGAUCAGAUACCGCCCUAGUUCUGACCGUAAACGAUGCCAACUAGCGAUCCGCCGAUGGAAAUUAUAUUGCCUUGGUAAUUUAGAUUUUUAUUAUUUGCACACAAUUGACAUUAUCCACUUAUUUAGUUCGUAGAACUUUUUUAUCGAAUUCGAAUACAUUACUAGAAUAAAUAUGGCACUAAUAAUUUUGACGCGUAUAAACGAAAACAAAUUUAGAUUUUUAUUAUUUGCACACAAUUGACAUUAUCCACUUAUUUAGUUCGUAGAACUUUUUUAUCGAAUUCGAAUACAUUAAUAAACGAAAACAAAAUUUAGAUUUUUAUUAUUUGCACACAAUUGACAUUAUCCACUUAUUUAGUUCGUAGAACUUUUUUAUCGAAUUCGAAUACAUUACUAGAAUAAAUAUGGCACUAAUAAUUUUGACGCGUAUAAACGAAAACAAAAUUUAGAUUUUUAUUAUUUGCACACAAUUGACAAAUUUAGAUUUUUAUUAUUUGCACACAAUUGACAUUAUCCACUUAUUUAGUUCGUAGAACUUUUUUAUCGAAUUCGAAUACAUUACUAGAAUAAAUAUGGCACUAAUAAUUUUGACGCGUAUAAACGAAAACAAAAUUU
This is a non-coding RNA of Meloidogyne enterolobii, 1609 nucleotides long. The record is from the annotation of a GenBank genome assembly. Lineage: Eukaryota; Metazoa; Nematoda; Chromadorea; Rhabditida; Meloidogynidae.